Molecule: ribosomal RNA, 475 nt
Filed under: uncultured bacterium
Lineage: Bacteria
Description: partial 16S ribosomal RNA
Rfam family: Bacterial small subunit ribosomal RNA
Source: RNAcentral
GAUGAACGCUAGCGGCAGGCCUAACACAUGCAAGUCGAGGGAUAAGCCUUCGGGCUAAGACCGGCGCACGGGGGCGUAACGCGUAUACAAUCUGCCUUUUAUCCGGGGGAUAGCCCGAAGAAAUUUGGAUUAAUACCCUAUGGUAUAAGAGCACGGCAUCGUGCACUUAUUAAAUCUACGGCGGUAAAAGAUGAGUAUGCGUUCUAUUAGCUAGUUGGAGAGGUAACGGCUCCCCAAGGCGACGAUAGAUAGGGGUUCUGAGAGGGAUGUCCCCCACACUGGUACUGAGAUACGGACCAGACCCCUACGGGAGGCAGCAGUGAGGAAUAUUGGACAAUGGUCGGAAGACUGAUCCAGCCAUGCCGCGUGCAGGAUGACGGCCCUAUGGGUUGUAAACUGCUUUUGUAAGGGAAGAAUAAGGAGUACGUGUACUUUGAUGACGGUACCUUACGAAUAAGCAUCGGCUAACUCCGUG